This is a long non-coding RNA of Monodelphis domestica (gray short-tailed opossum), 1833 nucleotides long. The record is from Ensembl. Lineage: Eukaryota; Metazoa; Chordata; Mammalia; Didelphimorphia; Didelphidae.
UUAUUUCCUAAAUCACCCUCAUUUUUCAUGUUAAAAAUGAAUGUUAAGGAUAAUUUGGAUAACUCAGCCAUUUUAGACUCAUUAAUUUCAAAACACUCCCUAUUAAUUAGCAGGCCUAUUUUUGUCUCCAGAUAUCCCCCAAAACAUUUGCAACGAAACAUUUUUCAUUCUUUUCAGACACUUGCCAAGAUAAGUUUGAUUGUACUAUUUUCCCCUGAGUUUUCAAAAAGAUGUCUUAUUUCUUACUAAACUUCUUUGUUAAAGCAGAGAUUUUUAUGUCAUUAUUUCAUAUUCAAAUCAAUCAUUAAAGUUGUCAUUGUAGGAAAAGGAUAGAUACUGAGAUCUGAGCUCUUCUAACUCCCUGUCUUGAUCAUUUGGCUAAUGCUCAUCCAAAAGAAAGAUUAUUUAUGUUUUAGAGACAAACAUUUAAAUGAACCAAUUAUGAGCAAUAUCUAAAUCUAAAGUUUAGCUAAGGACGCAUACAUGCACACAUACUCACAUAUAAAUACAUGUUUAUACUCUUUGAAUGGUGACAUAAAAACUGAAAAUUGAAGAGGAUUCCAUCAUUAGGUGAAUGAUUUGACAAUUUGAUAUAUUAAUGUGGUAGAAUAACAGUGUGCUUUUAGAAAUGAUAGAGAUGGUUUCAGAGAAAUUUAGGAAGACUUGUUUGAAUCUGAUGAAAAAUAAAGUGAGCAGUUAUAGAAAAACAAUUCAUAAAAUAACUAAGUUCAUAACCAGCUCUAACAUGUUAAUACAGAAUUAUAAUUACUUUUCUUUCUUCAUCACCAGGGGCAGCUGGAUGGAGUGUAGGCUUCAAAUCGGGGAGACAACUUCAAAUCCAUCCUCAGAAAAUAAUUACUCAUUGAUGUCUGUAAUUCACCAUGGCUUAAAACCAGCAUAAUCUAGUAGCCAAUCAUCCACUGAUAAAUGCCUCCAAAACAAGCUCACCUGAUCCUCAGGGAAAAGAGUGUUUGUUCUUCGGUUCCUACUCAAAGGUAUUCUAAGUUGAUACUACUUAUAAGUAAUUUGUUACUCUAGAAUAUCCAGAUGGUUAUCAAACAGUUUGUUUGAAAAAAGAAAUCUUAAUAUUUUAAUGGAGUAAAAGAUAAUAUUAAUCAAAAGUACCAUGUUCUGAACAAGACAUUUCAUGAGGGAACAACUGAAGAUUAAUUAGACUGUGAUAAGCUAGAAAUUGCAUAUACAGUCCAUAAUGUAUAUUUAUGUACAAAAGCACUUUAGGAUGUGGAAGUAAAAAGCAGGGUAUUAAUAAUACCUCCUAGGUACUCUAAAAACAAACCUAAGCCCCAAUGCUAAGUCAACUAUUGGCUCAUAACUUUAUUAUUCUUUUUCUUUUUCUCUUCAAGUUUAAGAAAGUAAUCUAGGAAUUUGUCUUUAAUUUACUUCAGAAAUUCAAAAAAUUCUCUCUAAGCAGUUCAUAAUGUCAAACUGCUAUAUAUGACCAGGGAGGUUUCAUAUCCUUUAAGUUAUCAUGAGACCAAAGUUCCAAAUUUAUGGGCUUAAAUAGAUAUUAUUAUUGUACAUGAGAACAGUGAGUAGCAUCAAUAAUAUCUCUCUACACAGAGAUACAUACAUAUCUAUACAAGUAUCUUUGAUCUAGUGAGACUCAUUUACCACCUCAUUUCAUGGUGUUUCUCUCCCCUAGCAAAACUUCUCCAUUGUUAUCCAAAUGCAAACCAUCUGCUAAUCUCCACCUCUUCUGUGUAAUGUAUUUAAACUACUGCAUUUAUUUUCUCUGAAUUGUAUAGAUACUUUGUAAAACACACAAAAAUAUCAUUAAAUAAAUGCCUGUAUUUUAUUCCUUUGGUAUUUUAG